AUUUCUCCUGCCGAAAGGCGUCGUGGGUUCGAACCCCACUGCCGCUAAGCGGUAUAGUGAAGUGGUUAACACGGGAGGUUUAAGUC
Molecule: transfer RNA, 86 nt
Filed under: Rhizoctonia solani AG-1 IB
Lineage: Eukaryota; Fungi; Basidiomycota; Agaricomycetes; Cantharellales; Ceratobasidiaceae
Description: tRNA-Leu
Source: RNAcentral